RNAcentral lists this small RNA (204 nucleotides) under Mycobacterium triplex. RNAcentral's name for it is "Magnesium sequence". It matches the Rfam family "M-box riboswitch aptamer (ykoK leader)". Rfam says of the family: M-box riboswitch, also know as ykoK leader is described as a metaloregulatory RNA that sense divalent metals and function as a genetic control element of genes related to divalent metal transport in bacteria. It was first reported upstream of the B.subtilis ykoK gene and genes with related functions in other bacteria. Lineage: Bacteria; Bacillati; Actinomycetota; Actinomycetes; Mycobacteriales; Mycobacteriaceae. The record is from RNAcentral.
CAAGCACCUCGGUAGGUGAGGCGUCUGCACGGACACAGGCCACUGACCCCGAACGUCGAGAGACGCCCCGGGUCAGGACAGCUCUUCCCGGACACAUGGGUUGAGCCCAAGUGGCUUCUGGACGAGGAGCGAUCGCAAGCGCGGGUCGCGACCAUCGGCCAGAUACGCCGUGCAGUGCCGAAGCUCCGACGAGAGGGGUGCGGC